CCUACGGGUGGCUGCAGUGAGGAAUAUUGGUCAAUGGGCGCGAGCCUGAACCAGCCAAGUCGCGUGAGGGAAGACGGUCCUAUGGAUUGUAAACCUCUUUUGUCGGGGAGCAAAAGACGCCACGCGUGGCGUUCCGAGAGUACCCGAAGAAAAAGCAUCGGCUAACUCCGUGCCAGCAGCCGCGGUAAUACGGAGGAUGCGAGCGUUAUCCGGAUUGAGUGGGUUUAAAGGGUGCGCAGGCGGAAGAGCAAGUCAGCGGUAAAAUUGAGAGGCUCAACCUCUUCGAGCCGUUGAAACUGGUUUUCGUGAGUGUGUGAGAAGUAUGCGGAAUGCGUGGUGUAGCGGUGAAAUGCAUAGAUAUCACGCAGAACUCCGAUUGCGAAGGCAGCAUACCGGCGCUCAACUGACGCUCAUGCACGAAAGUGUGGGUAUCGAACAGGAUUAGAUACCCUUGUAGUC
This 459-nucleotide ribosomal RNA is filed under the name uncultured bacterium. Its description in RNAcentral is "partial 16S ribosomal RNA". It matches the Rfam family "Bacterial small subunit ribosomal RNA", at positions 338 to 795 of the family's 1533-position model. The record is from RNAcentral.